This 58-nucleotide transfer RNA is filed under the name Dipodomys ordii (Ord's kangaroo rat). It matches the Rfam family "tRNA", at positions 8 to 63 of the family's 71-position model. Rfam says of the family: Transfer RNA (tRNA) molecules are approximately 80 nucleotides in length. The record is from Rfam by way of RNAcentral. Lineage: Eukaryota; Metazoa; Chordata; Mammalia; Rodentia; Heteromyidae.
UGGCUCAGUGGUAGAGCGCUUGCCUUACAUGCCUGAGGCCCUGGGUUCGAUUCCCCAG